ACAGAGAGACACGCAGAGGGCAAGCGCAAUACCCACGGAACCACUCACAGGUGCUUUUGUUUUCGACGUGCGCCCGUCUUUUCCCCCUCCCACGACGACCACCAGCACAGAAGAGUCACGGAAAGUUCAUACUGCGGCUGCAUUCUUUGUCUUUCUCGUGCGCAUAUAGGCUUUCCAUCCUCCCUACCUCUAUCUCGACGCGCGGCACGCACCCGCCGGCACUGCGGCGCCUUUUCAGCAGAAGAAGCGUAUAGAGAAUCCGAAUGAGCUCUAGCGAGUCACGUGCAGAGCGACUGCGCCGCGUAAACCGCUAUAAAGCGGUGCAGGCGGAGCUCGCUCGACAGGAGGAGGACAACUUAGCUGCCAUGCGAGCAGCCAAAGUGAAGGCGGCUGCCGCUGACGAGGCCCUAGCCGCCGAGCUAGCUGAACAGCAGCGACUUGAGUUGAAAGACGCGAAGAUGCUGCAGCUAGUGCGUGACUACCCGGAGGUACGGGCGCUAGAGAGUCAGCUAAAGGACGCCUAUCUGCGCAAGAGCCGUGCAGAGCAGGUGACGGACCGCAGCGCCGCUAAGGCGCUGGAGGUAGAGGAGCAGCGUAGGCACAUGAAGUACCUUGCCGAGCAGGACCGACUUGCCAAGGCAGAAGAGGAGAAGAGGCACCAGGAAAACAUGGAGCGAUUCCGACGCCAUCAGGCAGCUCAGCUGGAGAUAAUCCGCCAGCAUCGCUGUGCCGCUAUGGAGGAAGCGAAGCAGCGCGAACAGGAGCGCAUCGCCGUAGACGCUGUAAUGGCUCGAGUGCAGGAGCAGGACUUUCUCGAAACCCUCGCCCGUCGCGACCGGCAGCGUCGGAUUAUGGAGGAGCAGGAUGAGUUCUGCCGUCUUCGCGCUGCUAUUAAGAAGGCGGAGCAGGAUCGUGAGGCCAAGGAAGAGGCGGCGAUUCGUGCCUACCUCGAUGAGCAGGCACGUAGAAAGGAGAUGGAUGACAAGAUGGCGCGUGAGCGGGACGUUGUCAAGGCCCGCAUUCUGGAAGAGCAGGGCCGUCGCAUUGCCGAGGAGGAGCGCAAGAAGCGUGAACUGGAGGUGCUGCUUCAGGAGUACUACGAAGAGGAGCGGCUGACGAAGGAGCAGAUGCUGAUCGCGGCAGAGAAGGCGAGUCGCGAUCGCAUGGCAGCCGCGGUGAAUCACGAAAACCAAAAGCUCAUCGAGCAGCGCCGCCUUGCCAAGGAGGAGCAGCUGGCCGAGGAGAUGCGCUUUCGGCAGGAGGCAAUGGAGCAAAUGGCCGCGGAGGCAAAGCUGCAACAGCUCAACCGCCAGAAGCAAGCGGAGAUCAAGCGGCAGCACAUCGCCGAAGCGCAGCAGCGUCUGGAGGAGCGCCGACGUCUCAAGGAGCAGGAAAAGGAGCUAGAACGCAAAGUGGAGGAGCAGGACCGCAAGCAGGAGGAGCAGAUCCAGGAGUACAUCCGACGCGCCCGCGCGCAGCUCUUGGCGCAGCACUUGCCCAAGCUAGGCUCGUAUGCCCCUGUAUUCGCCAUGCGGGACGAGGAGAAGCUUCAGUUCUUGCCUCAGUCAAAGACUGCCGACGCUGCACUGCCCGCACGCUAACGGACAAUAUAUAUUUGCCCUCUUUUCUUGCCCUUGUGGUCGACUGCUGCUUUCACAUCCGGCUACGCUCCUCCGCUCCGCUCUACUUCGCACUCCCACUUUUUCUUUUGCCUUCCUACGAGGUCGCGCGCACAUCGGCGGCGAAAUGGGCUGUGGAAG
This 1760-nucleotide unclassified non-coding RNA is filed under the name Leishmania donovani. RNAcentral's name for it is "gene:LdHU3.30.4290(CDS-product:Tumour_suppressor_ Mitostatin_putative)". The record is from RNAcentral. Lineage: Eukaryota; Euglenozoa; Kinetoplastea; Trypanosomatida; Trypanosomatidae.